CCUACGGGUGGCUGCAGUGGGGAAUAUUGCACAAUGGGCGCAAGCCUGAUGCAGCCAUGCCGCGUGUGUGAAGAAGGCCUUCGGGUUGUAAAGCACUUUCAGCGGGGAGGAAGGCGUUAAGGUUAAUAACCUUGUCGAUUGACGUUACCCGCAGAAGAAGCACCGGCUAACUCCGUGCCAGCAGCCGCGGUAAUACGGAGGGUGCAAGCGUUAAUCGGAAUUACUGGGCGUAAAGCGCACGCAGGCGGUCUGUCAAGUCGGAUGUGAAAUCCCCGGGCUCAACCUGGGAACUGCAUUCGAAACUGGCAGGCUAGAGUCUUGUAGAGGGGGGUAGAAGUCCAGGUGUAGCGGUGAAAUGCGUAGAGAUCUGGAGGAAUACCGGUGGCGAAGGCGGCCCCCUGGACAAAGACUGACGCUCAGGUGCGAAAGCGUGGGGAGCAAACAGGAUUAGAUACCCUUGUAGUC
RNAcentral lists this ribosomal RNA (465 nucleotides) under uncultured Klebsiella sp. Its description in RNAcentral is "bacterial SSU rRNA". It matches the Rfam family "Bacterial small subunit ribosomal RNA", at positions 338 to 795 of the family's 1533-position model. The record is from RNAcentral. Lineage: Bacteria; Pseudomonadati; Pseudomonadota; Gammaproteobacteria; Enterobacterales; Enterobacteriaceae.